GUUCAUGGGCUCCAGGGAAACAUCUUGCGUCUUCGCUGACGAGUGGCGGACGGGUGAGUAAUGUCUGGGAAACUGCCUGAUGGAGGGGGAUAACUACUGGAAACGGUAGCUAAUACCGCAUAACGUCGCAAGACCAAAGAGGGGGACCUUCGGGCCUCUUGCCAUCGGAUGUGCCCAGAUGGGAUUAGCUAGUAGGUGGGGUAACGGCUCACCUAGGCGACGAUCCCUAGCUGGUCUGAGAGGAUGACCAGCCACACUGGAACUGAGACACGGUCCCAGACUCCUACGGGAGGCAGCAGUGGGGAAUAUUGCACAAUGGGCGCAAGCCUGAUGCAGCCAUGCCGCGUGUAUGAAGAAGGCCUUCGGGUUGUAAAGUACUUUCAGCGGGGAGGAAGGGAGUAAAGUUAAUACCUUUGCUCAUUGACGUUACCCGCAGAAGAAGCACCGGCUAACUCCGUGCCAGCAGCCGCGGUAAUACGGAGGGUGCAAGCGUUAAUCGGAAUUACUGGGCGUAAAGCGCACGCAGGCGGUUUGUUAAGUCAGAUGUGAAAUCCCCGGGCUCAACCUGGGAACUGCAUCUGAUACUGGCAAGCUUGAGUCUCGUAGAGGGGGGUAGAAUUCCAGGUGUAGCGGUGAAAUGCGUAGAGAUCUGGAGGAAUACCGGUGGCGAAGGCGGCCCCCUGGACGAAGACUGACGCUCAGGUGCGAAAGCGUGGGGAGCAAACAGGAUUAGAUACCCUGGUAGUCCACGCCGUAAACGAUGUCGACUUGGAGGUUGUGCCCUUGAGGCGUGGCUUCCGGAGCUAACGCGUUAAGUCGACCGCCUGGGGAGUACGGCCGCAAGGUUAAAACUCAAAUGAAUUGACGGGGGCCCGCACAAGCGGUGGAGCAUGUGGUUUAAUUCGAUGCAACGCGAAGAACCUUACCUGGUCUUGACAUCCACAGAACUUUCCAGAGAUGGAUUGGUGCCUUCGGGAACUGUGAGACAGGUGCUGCAUGGCUGUCGUCAGCUCGUGUUGUGAAAUGUUGGGUUAAGUCCCGCAACGAGCGCAACCCUUAUCCUUUGUUGCACAGCGGUCCGGCCGGGAACUCAAAGGAGACUGCCCAUGUGAUAAACUGGAGGAAGGUGGGGAUGAACGUCAGAGUCAUCAUGGCCCUUACGACCAGGGCUACACACGUGCUACAAUGGCGCAUACAAAGAGAAGCGACCUCGCGAGAGCAAGCGGACCUCAUAAAGUGCGUCGUAGUCCGGAUUGGAGUCUGCAACUCGACUCCAUGAAGUCGGAAUCGCUAGUAAUCGUGGAUCAGAAUGCCACGGUGAAUACGUUCCCGGGCCUUGUACACGCCGCCCGUCACACCAUGGGAGUGGUAUGACGAUAAAGUCAGUGAGGUCAACGUAAGU
Molecule: ribosomal RNA, 1402 nt
Filed under: Shigella sonnei
Lineage: Bacteria; Pseudomonadati; Pseudomonadota; Gammaproteobacteria; Enterobacterales; Enterobacteriaceae
Description: bacterial SSU rRNA
Rfam family: Bacterial small subunit ribosomal RNA
Source: RNAcentral